This is a long non-coding RNA of Penaeus chinensis, 1262 nucleotides long. RefSeq lists it as uncharacterized. The transcript is spliced from 2 exons. The record is from RefSeq and is a predicted model, not a curated record. NCBI's taxonomy places the organism in Eukaryota, Metazoa, Arthropoda, Malacostraca, Decapoda, Penaeidae.
AUUCUUGUCAGCCGAGACAGAGCUGCAUUAGUCCCGUUGCAGAGGAGCUGGUGUGCAAUCGCAUCAUGAAGUACGUGAAAAGGCUCGACCAGAGGAUGAAGGGGAGGAAGGAGCAGGUGGCGAGGAGCAAAUACGGACGGAUCAGCAAGAAGAACAAGGAAAUGAUCAAAAUGCCGUUCAUGAAGAACCCUCAGCUUCGGUCCUUCGUGAUCAGGGACGGGAAUUAUGUGUCCCUGAAGGCGGCGUCUCCUCUUGACCUGUAGAAUCGCUUCUGUGGAAAUGGGAUCGGUCAACGGGGCGGCGGGAAAGGAUUUAUUUUUUAUCAUAUUGUAUGUGUAUUCUUGCUUUUCUUGUUCUUCGCGUUAUUUUUCGUUUAAGGCGGGGUGGAUAUGGCUUUAACUUUGUUUUUUUUAUUACAUGUGUAAACUCUUUUUACGUGUUAUUAUUAUUUAUUUUGUAUUCUCUUGUCCCGAUCUGUUUUUUUUUUUAAUGCAGCUGCAUUGAUGGAUCCUCUAUAAAAGACGAAAAAACGAUGCUUGUGGCAUAUUACUCCAACUCCGUCUGAAACCUUCGCUCGAGCAUGACAAGCACUGAAAUCCCCUACUUGAGAUUCAUCAUAACUGAUCGACUUUUUUUUUUAGCGAUUCAGAACCCCUUGCACAAGGAGCUUUGUCUUCGUUCCCUUAUUGUUUUCAAAUAAUGGCAAAGGAGGAUAAAGUUCUUAAGUAUAUUAAAGGUCCACUGGUCCUUGGUGAUAUUGUUAUAAUGAUAAUAAUGGCAAGAACAUAUACAUAGGACUAUGCUUAUGCAAUCCAGAAGUUCGGUUAUCUAUUAAAAUUACAGAAUUGACAUUUUUUUCUUCGCCCUUUCUUAAAAUGAAUAUAAACGCGGCUAAAUUGGGCGAUUUAAGAGCAAAUGUUUAAAAAAGAUCAAUCUGAGGGACUGAUAGAUAGGAAAAUAUAAUUAACUUUUUUCGUGUCACUGUCCAUCAUUUAUUUACACAAACCUGAAAACCCUUUUUUGAAACUAAGUUGAAUGAUUAUUUUCGCGACCAAAGAUAUUGCUAAUUGCAUAAAUAAUCCUCUUGAUAGCCUGAGAAAUAAACUGCAUUUUGAUUUUCGCAAACUGCCGGUUCGCAACGGUAAUCAAAAUAUAUUGAUAUCUAACUCUUUGUUUAUUAUGGUUAGUUUCAGUGUGCACUGUAAUAAAUUUAUAAGUUUUGGUUUAUGAAAUCAAAUCCAAUAAAGCAAAUUACGAUAAAA